GCUUUGACCGGGUCAACGAUAA
Molecule: small nuclear RNA, 22 nt
Filed under: Arabidopsis thaliana (thale cress)
Lineage: Eukaryota; Viridiplantae; Streptophyta; Magnoliopsida; Brassicales; Brassicaceae
Description: snRNA_09506
Source: RNAcentral